This 22-nucleotide ribosomal RNA is filed under the name Mycoplasma sp. Its description in RNAcentral is "partial 16S ribosomal RNA". Lineage: Bacteria; Bacillati; Mycoplasmatota; Mollicutes; Mycoplasmatales; Mycoplasmataceae. The record is from RNAcentral.
GUGGGGAUGGAUUACCUCCUUU